UACGUAGGCAGCGAGCGUUGUUCGGAGUUACUGGGCGUAAAGAGUGCGUAGGCGGUUUUCUAAGUUUGGUGUGAAAUCUCCCGGCUUAACUGGGAGGGUGCGCCGAAAACUGGAAGGCUUGAGUAUGGGAGAGGUAAGCGGAAUUCCUGGUGUAGCGGUGAAAUGCGUAGAUAUCUGGAGGAACACCGGUGGCGAAGGCGGCAUCCUGGACCAAUACUGACGCUGAGGAGCGAAAGCCAGGGGAGCAAACGGG
RNAcentral lists this ribosomal RNA (253 nucleotides) under uncultured bacterium. RNAcentral describes it as "partial 16S ribosomal RNA". It matches the Rfam family "Bacterial small subunit ribosomal RNA", at positions 524 to 776 of the family's 1533-position model. The record is from RNAcentral.